Molecule: ribosomal RNA, 454 nt
Filed under: uncultured Porphyromonadaceae bacterium
Lineage: Bacteria; Pseudomonadati; Bacteroidota; Bacteroidia; Bacteroidales; Porphyromonadaceae
Description: bacterial SSU rRNA
Rfam family: Bacterial small subunit ribosomal RNA
Source: RNAcentral
ACGGAAGGCAGCAGUGAGGAAUAUUGGUCAAUGGGCGGAAGCCUGAACCAGCCAUGUCGCGUGCAGGACUACGGCCCUACGGGUCUUAAACUGCUUUUGCAAGGGGAUAAAGUGGGGCACGCGUGCCCCUUUGCAGGUACCUUGCGAAUAAGGAUCGGCUAACUCCGUGCCAGCAGCCGCGGUAAUACGGAGGAUCCGAGCGUUAUCCGGAUUUAUUGGGUUUAAAGGGUGCGUAGGCGGGCUGUUAAGUCAGCGGUGAAACCCCCGGGCUCAACCCGGGGACUGCCAUUGAAACUGGCGGCCUUGAGUACGUUGGGAGUGCGCGGAAUGUGUGGUGUAGCGGUGAAAUGCAUAGAUAUCACACAGAACACCGAUUGCGAAGGCAGGAUACCAUACCAUAUCUGACGCUCAGGCACGAAAGCGUGGGGAUCGAACAGGAUUAGAUACCCUGGUA